This 445-nucleotide ribosomal RNA is filed under the name uncultured bacterium. Its description in RNAcentral is "partial 16S ribosomal RNA". It matches the Rfam family "Bacterial small subunit ribosomal RNA", at positions 354 to 796 of the family's 1533-position model. The record is from RNAcentral.
GUGAGGAAUAUUGCGCAAUGGAGGCAACUCUGACGCAGCCAUGCCGCGUGCAGGAAGAAGGCGCUACGCGUUGUAAACUGCUUUUAACCGGGAAGAAACCCCAGGACGUGUCCUGGGUUGACGGUACCGGAGGAAUAAGCACCGGCUAACUUCGUGCCAGCAGCCGCGGUAAUACGAAGGGUGCAAGCGUUAUCCGGAUUCAUUGGGUUUAAAGGGUGCGUAGGCGAAGCGUUAAGUCAGUGGUGAAAUCCUGCAGCUUAACUGUAGACUUGCCAUUGAUACUGGCGCUCUUGAGUGCGCUUGAAGUGAGCGGAAUGUGUCGUGUAGCGGUGAAAUGCUUAGAUAUGGCACAGAACACCAAUUGCGAAGGCAGCUCACUAAGGCGAUACUGACGCUGAGGCACGAAAGCGUGGGGAUCGAACAGGAUUAGAAACCCGAGUAGUCC